CCCUUAGAUGUCCUGGGCCGCACGCGCGCUACACUGAGUGUCUGAGAUACGAGUCUGCCUGGUCCGGCAAGGUCUAGGUAAUCGCUAAAAGACACAUCAUGCUUGGGAUAGAUUAUUGCAAAUAUUAAUCUUGAACGAGGAAUUCCUAGUAAGCGCAAGUCAACAGCUUGCGUUGAUUACGUCCCUGCCCUUUGUACACACCGCCCGUCGCUACUACUGAUUGGAUGUUUAAGCGAGGUUCUCGAACUGCUAGCGACUUAGCUUCGGUGAGGUCGCAGUGUGGGAAAUGAACCUAGCUUUGGUGUCUAGAGGAAGUAAAAGUCGUAACA
RNAcentral lists this ribosomal RNA (329 nucleotides) under uncultured eukaryote. RNAcentral describes it as "partial 18S ribosomal RNA". It matches the Rfam family "Eukaryotic small subunit ribosomal RNA", at positions 1470 to 1796 of the family's 1831-position model. The record is from RNAcentral.